ACGAGAAAGGGGAGCAAUCCCUGAGUACAGUGGCGACCGGGUGAGUAACACGUGACUACCUACCCUUGAGUGGGGGAUAACCUCGGGAAACCGAGGCUAAUACCGCAUAAUAUCGAAAGAUCAAAGGAGAAAUCCGCUUUUGGAGGGGGUCGCGGCUGAUUAGCUAGUUGGUGAGGUAAUGGCUCACCAAGGCGAAGAUCGGUAUCCGGCCUGAGAGGGCGCACGGACACACUGGAACUGAAACACGGUCCAGACUCCUACGGGAGGCAGCAGUGGGGAAUCUUGCACAAUGGGGGAAACCCUGAUGCAGCGACGCCGCGUGAGCGAUGAAGCCCUUCGGGGUGUAAAGCUCUUUCGGCAGGGAAGAUUAUGACGGUACCUGCAGAAGCAGCUGCGGCUAACUACGUGCCAGCAGCCGCGGUAAUACGUAGGCAGCAAGCGUUGUUCGGAGUUACUGGGCGUAAAGGGUGUGUAGGUGGCCUGUUAAGUUCCGUGUGAAAUCUCCCGGCUCAACCGGGAGGGUGCGCGGAAAACUGGCGGGCUAGAGUACGGGAUGGGAGAGUAGAAUUCCUGGUGUAGCGGUGAAAUGCGUAGAUAUCAGGAGGAAUACCGGUGGUGUAGACGGCUCUCUGGACCGUAACUGACACUGAGACACGAAAGCGUGGGUAGCAAACAGGAUUAGAUACCCUGGUAGUCCACGCCCUAAACGAUGCAUAUUUGGUGU
RNAcentral lists this ribosomal RNA (724 nucleotides) under uncultured bacterium. RNAcentral describes it as "bacterial SSU rRNA". It matches the Rfam family "Bacterial small subunit ribosomal RNA", at positions 66 to 823 of the family's 1533-position model. The record is from RNAcentral.